Molecule: long non-coding RNA, 397 nt
Organism: Hydra vulgaris (swiftwater hydra)
Lineage: Eukaryota; Metazoa; Cnidaria; Hydrozoa; Anthoathecata; Hydridae
Source: RefSeq, a predicted model, not a curated record
GAAAAAUAAAACCUGUAAAUAAUUUCUGUCUGUAUUUAUUUGUUCAAGUGCCAGUGAAACGAACGAUAGAAAAGAAGAAGCAUUCAAACUGUUUGCAAAACUUUUGGUUUGGAUACAAAAGACCAAGUAAAAAUGAUACUGGAAAGACUGUUUACCGUUGGACUCCUGUCCCAAUCUAACCUAGUGGGUUCAAAAAGAAAGAACCACGCUGGAAACAUGAGGGGGUUAAAAGGAUCAGCCCUUUUUGAAUUAUUAGUCGAAGUUGUAACCAACUUGUACGAAUGAAGUUUACGACUUGAUAUAGUUAAUUUUAUUCAACAACGCCAAGAAACAGAGCUCGUUCAAGAAACAGAAGAGAAAAAGAAAGAUGAAAAAAUAUUCUGUUGACCAAUACUGU